AGAUAAGAAACCGAAAUUGCAUAACAGAAGUCCGUCCCGCGUGUCGGGUGUCGGGUAUAAAAUUUCAGAUCAGUAUUAGAUGCAACAGCCGACCUUGCUCUCACUGAAAGAACCAUUUAGACUCCAUCAGCGGGAAGGAUGAAGUACGUUACGAUCUUCCUCGUGUUGUCACUGGUCGUCCUCAUGGCCGAUCCCGGGGAUUGUUUUUUUAAAAACAUAUGGAGAGGGGCCAAAGCCAUAUUCAAAGGAGCCAGGCGAGGGUGGAAAGAACACAGAGCCAUUGCGAGGAACCACAGAGGGCAGGAGCAACAAGGACAGCAAGCCGACAACGAUGAAGGUCAGCCAUAUUGGCAGGACUGAAUCAGUUGACCCCGAAGACAUCGGGCUUUAGCUUUCUACUUUGCACGGCAAGAAGCAAACAAACGGGUAGUCCGAGAAAUCUGUAAUGAGAAUUGAUUUUGACUCUGGUGCAAAUAGUUUUUAAACAAGCCAAAUAAUGCCGAAUAAUAUAAUGCCUGUCCCGCUGAAUAAAGCUGUAAUGCAUCUC
This is a non-coding RNA of Gasterosteus aculeatus aculeatus (three-spined stickleback), 547 nucleotides long. NCBI's taxonomy places the organism in Eukaryota, Metazoa, Chordata, Actinopteri, Perciformes, Gasterosteidae. The record is from RefSeq and is a predicted model, not a curated record.